This 1445-nucleotide unclassified non-coding RNA is filed under the name Pomacea canaliculata. Its description in RNAcentral is "uncharacterized protein C1orf112-like, transcript variant X2". The record is from RNAcentral. Lineage: Eukaryota; Metazoa; Mollusca; Gastropoda; Architaenioglossa; Ampullariidae.
GAAGUUUUCGUCGCUAAUGGCGGCAAUUUUGUUCGGCUUAGCUAAUCGAUGACAAAGUCUCAUCCUUGUGUAUGUAGACUUUUCCAAAUGUACGGAAUAAUGUGUGCAUGUUUUAACCAGUAGUUCAGAUUCUGUGUCGUUUGUGUCAGAUGUUAGGGUAAAAUGUCACAGUCAACGUUCUUGGAAGAGGUAGUAACUUGGGAUCAAGAAAAGCGAAUAGAAAAAGUGGACGAAGCCAUCCCAAGGCUUGUCUCUAUUUUGCAGACUUACAGUAGUUUUGAGGAAGCAGUUGGUAUAUUACAGAUUGUGUGCCAGUCAUUUGUUCCUAUCAUACAUCAUGAACAGCUUGAACAGCAAAUCUUUGGCAAAGUUUCUCAACAGAUUUGUUGUCUGCUUGAUGAUGUCUUGGAGACCAUUCAUCGCACAUGGCAGAACCAUGGGAAGACUUCUGAUUCUGAACAUUUGAUGUCUUUGCUGCAGGCUAUGCUAGGUAUUCUGGAAUGCACUGUGGAGUGUGUACAGCAUGUGGCUGGUCUCCACAACACAGUGCAGCUUCUUCACAUCAAGUCUUUACCUAGGUGUGCUCUUCAUGUCCUCAAAGGCUCCUAUGGACACUGCAAGGAGAGCAGUGACCUGUAUGGUGAUUUUCUUCCUAAAAUCUCAGACUUUUUGUCAGCAAUUUUCAGGAAGGCACAUUCUUUGCAAAUGAUAUUCCUGAACCUGCUGAACAAAUUAGAUCCAUGUUCUGGUGGGAGCACGGGAGAUUCACAGGAACUUCUGAGUGUGUGUGAUGGGUUAUUUUCUUUGUGCAACAUUGUGGCUCUUCUUGACUUGAAGCUGACACUUAGUAUUUGGAAAGCUAUUUUAAGAAUAGCAAAUCAACACCAAGGAAUACUGAGUGGAAGCCUGGAUAUAUCCAGCAUGAUAGGCUACCUCUGUGGGGAGAUGCAUAGUGGAAUUGAAAAUCUUCUACAGGCUGCUCAACCAGAAGAUGAUCAGGAAACACUAGUACUGUCUCAGGGUGAUGAGAAGACUUUCACUAGAGCUUUGAAGAUCCUUAGUUUUCAAAUGAAAGUGGUAGUUACCAUGGUGAAGGAUUACCAAGACUGCUUGGACAAUUGCAUUUCCAGCAUUUAUCGCCUCAUGCUCAAUUUGUACAGUGUACUUCCACCAUGUCUUUCUGCCCCCAGGAUACAGGUUAGACAACAAGAGGAAAUUAGGCAUCUUUUAAAAGGAAGUAUAUACCUUGAGCUGUCACCUUCUUUCCAACACUACUUUAAGAGACUGCCUGUCAGACCAUGAAGAUACGCCAGAAGAAUACUGCCUUCCUCGUCUUCUCCUGCAGAUCAUGAUUCUAGACAAUUUAGUGCAGUGUUCAGAAGAACAGGAAGAUAUCUGGUUUCAGAGACAUAUGAUGUCAUCAGGUUUAGUGGCAAGUCAUUAUC